This 273-nucleotide ribosomal RNA is filed under the name uncultured prokaryote. RNAcentral's name for it is "partial 16S ribosomal RNA". It matches the Rfam family "Bacterial small subunit ribosomal RNA", at positions 524 to 796 of the family's 1533-position model. The record is from RNAcentral.
UACGGGGGGUGCAAGCGUUAUCCGGAAUCACUGGGUUUAAAGGGUGCGUAGGCGGGACAUUAAGUCAGUGGUGAAAGUCUGUUGCUUAACGAUAGAAUUGCCGUUGAUACUGAUGUUCUUGAAUUGGGUUGAGGUUAGCGGAAUGUGACAUGUAGCGGUGAAAUGCAUAGAUAUGUCAUGGAACACCAAUUGCGAAGGCAGCUAGCUGGGCCUUGAUUGACGCUGAGGCACGAAAGCGUGGGGAGCAAACAGGAUUAGAAACCCUAGUAGUCC